GAAACUACAAAUGAAUUGACGGGACCGCACAAGCGUGGAUGAUGUGGUUUAAUUCGAUGCAACGCGAAAAACCUUACCCACCUUUGACAUGUACGGAACCCUUUAGAGAUAGAGGGGUGCUCGAAAGAGAGCCGUAACACAGGUGCUGCAUGGCUGUCGUCAGCUCGUGUCGUGAGAUGUUGGGUUAAGUCCCGCAACGAGCGCAACCCUUGUCAUUAGUUGCUACAUUCAGUUGGGCACUCUAAUGAGACUGCCGGUGACAAGCCGGAGGAAGGUGGGGAUGACGUCAAGUCCUCAUGGCCCUUAUAGGUGGGGCUACACACGUCAUACAAUGGCUGGUACAAAGGGUUGCCAACCCGCGAGGGGGAGCCAAUCCCAUAAAGCCAGUCGUAGUCCGGAUCGUAGUCUGCAACUCGACUACGUGAAGUCGGAAUCGCUAGUAAUCGUGGAUCAGAAUGUCACGGUGAAUACGUUCCCGGGUCUU
RNAcentral lists this ribosomal RNA (484 nucleotides) under uncultured Rhodoferax sp. RNAcentral describes it as "bacterial SSU rRNA". It matches the Rfam family "Bacterial small subunit ribosomal RNA", at positions 896 to 1382 of the family's 1533-position model. Lineage: Bacteria; Pseudomonadati; Pseudomonadota; Betaproteobacteria; Burkholderiales; Comamonadaceae. The record is from RNAcentral.